CACGUAGGGGGCGAGCGUUGUCCGGAUUUAUUGGGCGUAAAGAGCUCGUAGGCGGUUAGGAAAGUCGGGUGUGAAAGCUCGAGGCUCAACCUCGAGACGCCACUCGAUACUUCCUUGACUGGAGUCCGGUAGAGGAGUGCGGAAUUCCUGGUGUAGCGGUGAAAUGCGCAGAUAUCAGGAGGAACACCAACGGCGAAGGCAGCACUCUGGGCCGGUACUGACGCUGAGGAGCGAAAGCGUGGGGAGCAAACAGGAUUAGAAACCCCCGUAGUCC
RNAcentral lists this ribosomal RNA (274 nucleotides) under uncultured bacterium. Its description in RNAcentral is "partial 16S ribosomal RNA". It matches the Rfam family "Bacterial small subunit ribosomal RNA", at positions 524 to 796 of the family's 1533-position model. The record is from RNAcentral.